This 1344-nucleotide ribosomal RNA is filed under the name uncultured bacterium. RNAcentral describes it as "16S ribosomal RNA". It matches the Rfam family "Bacterial small subunit ribosomal RNA", at positions 28 to 1378 of the family's 1533-position model. The record is from RNAcentral.
GACGAACGCUGGCGGCGUGCUUAACACAUGCAAGUCGAACGGAAAGGCCCUGCUUUUGUGGGGUGCUCGAGUGGCGAACGGGUGAGUAACACGUGAGUAACCUGCCCUUGACUUUGGGAUAACUUCAGGAAACUGGGGCUAAUACCGGAUAGGAGCUCCUGCUGCAUGGUGGGGGUUGGAAAGUUUCGGCGGUUGGGGAUGGACUCGCGGCUUAUCAGCUUGUUGGUGGGGUAGUGGCUUACCAAGGCUUUGACGGGUAGCCGGCCUGAGAGGGUGACCGGCCACAUUGGGACUGAGAUACGGCCCAGACUCCUACGGGAGGCAGCAGUGGGGAAUAUUGCACAAUGGGCGGAAGCCUGAUGCAGCAACGCCGCGUGCGGGAUGACGGCCUUCGGGUUGUAAACCGCUUUCGCCUGUGACGAAGCGUGAGUGACGGUAAUGGGUAAAGAAGCACCGGCUAACUACGUGCCAGCAGCCGCGGUGAUACGUAGGGUGCGAGCGUUGUCCGGAUUUAUUGGGCGUAAAGGGCUCGUAGGUGGUUGAUCGCGUCGGAAGUGUAAUCUUGGGGCUUAACCCUGAGCGUGCUUUCUAUACGGGUUGACUUGAGGAAGGUAGGGGGAGAAUGGAAUUCCUGGUGGAGCGGUGGAAUGCCCACAUAUCAGGAGGAACACCAGUGGCGAAGGCGGUUCUCUGGGCCUUUCCUGACGCUGAGGAGCGAAAGCGUGGGGAGCGAACAGGCUUAGAUACCCUGGUAGUCCACGCUGUAAACGGUGGGUACUAGGUGUGGGGUCCAUUCCACGGGUUCCGCGCCGUAGCUAACGCUUUAAGUACCCCGCCUGGGGAGUACGGCCGCAAGGCUAAAACUCAAAGGAAUUGACGGGGCCCCGCACAAGCGGCGGAGCAUGCGGAUUAAUUCGAUGCAACGCGUAGAACCUUACCUGGGUUUGACAUGGAUCGGGAGUGCUCAGAGAUGGGUGUGCCUCUUUUGGGGUCGGUUCACAGGUGGUGCAUGGCUGUCGUCAGCUCGUGUCGUGAGAUGUUGGGUUAAGUCCCGCAACGAGCGCAACCCUUGUUCACUGUUGCCAGCACGUUAUGGUGGGGACUCAGUGGAGACCGCCGGGGUCAACUCGGAGGAAGGUGGGGAUGACGUCAAGUCAUCAUGCCCCUUAUGUCCAGGGCUUCACGCAUGCUACAAUGGCUGGUACAGAGAGUGGCGAGCCUGUGAGGGUGAGCGAAUCUCGGAAAGCCGGUCUCAGUUCGGAUUGGGGUCUGCAACUCGACCUCAUGAAGUCGGAGUCGCUAGUAAUCGCAGAUCAGCAACGCUGCGGUGAAUACGUUCCCGGG